This 742-nucleotide small RNA is filed under the name Pan troglodytes (chimpanzee). RNAcentral's name for it is "processed transcript". The record is from RNAcentral. Lineage: Eukaryota; Metazoa; Chordata; Mammalia; Primates; Hominidae.
GCCCGUGGAGCCCUGGGCCUGUUGACCCACCAGCCUAGGAGCACCCACCAAGCUCUGGGUCAACGUGGAGGUACCAGGCCACCAUGCUCAGUCUCAAGCUGCCCCAACUUCUUCAAGUCCACCAGGUCCCCCGGGUGUUCUGGGAAGAUGGCAUCAUGUCUGGCUACCGCCGCCCCACCAGCUCGGCUUUGGACUGUGUCCUCAGCUCCUUCCAGAUGACCAACGAGACGGUCAACAUCUGGACUCACUUCCUGCCCACCUGGUACUUCCUGUGGCGGCUCCUGGCGCUGGCUGGCGGCCCCGGCUUCCGUGCGGAGCCGUACCACUGGCCGCUGCUGGUCUUCCUGCUGCCCGCCUGCCUCUACCCCUUCGCGUCGUGCUGCGCGCACACCUUCAGCUCCAUGUCGCCCCGCGCGCGCCACAUCUGCUACUUCCUCGACUACGGCGCGCUCAGCCUCUACAGUCUGGCACAGCGAUGGUGACCGGCCUUUUCCUCCCGCCUCCCAGUUUCCUGGAGCUGGAAAGCCCUGGGCUCAGUAAGGUCCUCCGCACAGGAGCCUUCGCCUAUCCAUUCCUGUUCGACAACCUCCCACUCUUUUAUCGGCUCGGGCUGUGCUGGGGCAGGGGCCACGGCUGUGGGCAGGAGGCCCUGAGCACCAGCCAUGGCUACCACCUCUUCUGCGCGCUGCUCACUGGCUUCCUCUUCGCCUCCCACCUGCCUGAAAGGCUGGCACCAGGACGC